UUUAUCCCGGAGGGCUUGUAGCUCAGUUGGUUAGAGCGCGCGCUUGAUAAGCGUGAGGUCGGAGGUUCAAGUCCUCCCAGGCCCACCAAUUUACCUAUCCAUUUGCUUUUAUCCGUUUAUUUGCCGAUUUAUCGGUCCAUUGAAUUUAAGUGUUGGUAGCAGUUUUUAUAAUGAUGAGAAAUCAUGCUUAUAAAAGAACUUCUUAUAAAAGGCUUGUUUUUAAAAUGUGACGCUUAUCCAUUUUGCUUAGGCAAGAGAAACUUCAAGCGGUUCAAAUGCAAAAGGCUUUAAAUUUUGCAAAACAAUUUGAAUUUUGCAAAACAAUUUGAAUUUUAAAGUGAUCCAAGUUCGUGAUCUCGAAUUUAAAAGUUUCGAAUGCUU
RNAcentral lists this unclassified non-coding RNA (381 nucleotides) under Bartonella taylorii. RNAcentral describes it as "partial 16S-23S ribosomal RNA intergenic spacer". The stretch from base 12 to 85 matches the Rfam family "tRNA". Lineage: Bacteria; Pseudomonadati; Pseudomonadota; Alphaproteobacteria; Hyphomicrobiales; Bartonellaceae. The record is from RNAcentral.